CCGGGGGGGAGCUGAGCAUAUCAAUAAGCGGAGGAAAAGAAACCAACAGGGAUUGCCCUAGUAACGGCGAGUGAAGCGGCAACAGCUCAAAUUUGAAAGCUGGCCUUCGGGUCCGCAUUGUAAUUUGUAGAGGAUGCUUUGGGUAAAACGCCAGUCUAAGUUCCUUGGAACAGGACGUCAUAGAGGGUGAGAAUCCCGUAUGUGACUGGAAAUGUUAACCUAUGUAAAGCUCCUUCGACGAGUCGAGUUGUUUGGGAAUGCAGCUCUAAAUGGGAGGUAAAUUUCUUCUAAAGCUAAAUAUUGGCGAGAGACCGAUAGCGCACAAGUAGAGUGAUCGAAAGAUGAAAAGCACUUUGGAAAGAGAGUUAAAAAGCACGUGAAAUUGUUGAAAGGGAAGCGCUUGCAAUCAGACUUGUUUAAACUGUUCGGCCGGUCUUCUGACCGGUUUACUCAGUUUGGACAGGCCAGCAUCAGUUUCGGCGGCCGGAUAAAGGCUCUGGGAAUGUGGCCUCCACUUCGGUGGAGGUGUUAUAGCCCAGUGUGUAAUACGGCCAGCCGGGACUGAGGUCCGCGCUUCGGCUAGGAUGCUGGCGUAAUGGUUGUAAGCGACCCGUCUUGAAACACGGACCAAGGAGUCUAACAUCUAUGCGAGUGUUCGGGUGUCAAACCCCUGCGCGUAAUGAAAGUGAACGGAGGUGGGAACCGCAAGGUGCACCAUCGACCGAUCCUGAUGUCUUCGGAUGGAUUUGAGUAAGAGCAUAGCUGUUGG
This 769-nucleotide ribosomal RNA is filed under the name Aureobasidium leucospermi. RNAcentral's name for it is "partial large subunit ribosomal RNA". It matches the Rfam family "Eukaryotic large subunit ribosomal RNA", at positions 25 to 812 of the family's 3401-position model. Lineage: Eukaryota; Fungi; Ascomycota; Dothideomycetes; Dothideales; Saccotheciaceae. The record is from RNAcentral.